UUUGAGAAGAAAGACAAGGCAGGAAGGAAAUACCGAGUCGAGACGAAUAGGUCUACAGUUAACGAGGAGCAAGCGAUAUCGCACGUACCAUCAUCUUUUUACUCGGUGGCGGCGCGACACUCUGCUCAGCGUUGCUCGAUGACAUGAUCGCAUCUAUACUGGCCAGCUGCGUUUGCUACGAGUCUACGAGCAUAUACGUGGCAAUUGUGUUAAACAUGAUCGUAGGAGACGAGAGUGAUAACGGAUGACGCUUUGCGUGCGGCGUGAGCGCUCCAUGUUGACCGACGCUGCUCACAGCUCACAGUUCACAGCUCACAGCCAGUCUCACACACACACACACACACACACACACACAUCACACAGUUCUCAUACACCAGCUCUGACACGAGUCACACGUCGUUGGGACUGCUCAACUGCUGGGACUGCUGGGAGUGGUAGUCACGUUCAGUCACGUUGCUCGGUUGUGGGGUUAGAAUGCACUAAACCGCGCGCGAAUAUUGCGGCAAAAGUGGCGCAAAGCCUAUAUACAUAUUACGUAAUUAAUUAUAUCACAAUGUUUUGCAAAUCGCAACAUUUCUACAGUUUUGCAUUUUGCUAAAUGCUAAAUGAAACAAGUAGUAAUAUAUAAUUUAAAUUUUUUAACUUGGAUGUUUUGUAAAUUUUAAACAUUUAAAUUUAAAUCGCGUUUUACCUUGUCAAAUAUUGAAAAAUACCGACAUUGGGAAAUUUACCGAUUUUCGGUAUUGGAUGUCGACGCCGCGCUAUUUAAAAUAUCUUUGUUUAAAAAUAAUCGAUAUACGCGAGCAUUUGUGAAUUGCAAUAUGGCUUUUGUGAUUUAUUAUAAACACAAGAAAAUCUCAAGAAAAUUUCAACAUCUUAUUUGUCACAAAAUAGAAAAUUAAUUAUACAUUGUGUCCGCGUGUAAGAGAUUAAAUUACAAAAUUCAGGUCCAAGAGCAUUUACAUAUGCAGUCGCAACAAAUUUUACAUUGUAUACGAUUAAUGUUAAUAAUAUUAUUAUUGUUCAGGUAUACAUAUCGCAAAUAACAAAGAAAUUAUACGAUUAAUAAUAAUUGAUAUAAUAAUAAUUAAUACUCUUAGCUAUAAUAUAUAGUUUUUGCAAUUGCAAAUGUUGGCAACAGAAAAUUACGUCAGACCAAAAGUUGCAAAUGGGAAACAAUUGUUGUUGCCAAUUCUGUUAGUAUAUGCAAUAUACGUCCAUCGAUAUGUGUGUGUGUAUAUAUAUGUAACAAUUAAUUAACUUCUGUCAGUAAAAUAUAUUUUAUAUAUGACAGUGUGGCGACUAACAGUAAGUAAUAUAUAAAUAGUAAACAGAUAUCGAGAACUAUACGAUAGAUUGAUGGUAAACAUCAAGGAGUUUUGCUAUUGCAAAUACAUAUAUGUAAGUGUUAGUAAAUGUUUUGCAAAAAUACAACAGUACGUAGCGAUGAAAAUACAUGCGAGAGAUUGGUAGAGUCAACAGCGCGAACAAAUCUAUAUCGAAUGUGCAGAUGACGGCAAAAAUUUGAAAUCGCUCAUUCGCGAGCAGUAUGCGACACCAGCACCGCGAAUAAAUUGACAUGACGGAGCCAUCAUUUCUCGCAAGUAAAAAAUUGCGUAUAAUAUAUGACAUAAAAGGCGCAGCAUUUUGAGAUUUUUCAUUUACGUUCUAGCGAAACGAUUUUGAAGACGAGUACUCAAAAUUGGGUUCAAAAAUAAAUGAGAUGCAUUUUUUUUUAUAAUACAACACUUUUAAUUCUGUAAAAAAAUUAAUACAAGAACCGGAUAUUGAUUUCGAUAAUGCAGAGUUUUCGCUUCCGAGAAACAGAUUUGAUUUAUAUUUGACACCACUUUUGCUUGGCGAUAGAUCCGAUCCGCAUUCGGUGCAAAUCUGAUGUAGACGCUUUGCGAUAAAUAGAUCUGCACCUAGCUCUCAGAGUUUGUUGCCAAACAUUUUGCUAUCGUCAAAUCUGCUCUAUUAUUGUUGUCAAUUGUUUGACUGUAAAAUAUGGUUCUUCAAUUUGAUUCACAUUUGGAGAUUAUAUAGGGGAGAUUAUACA
Molecule: long non-coding RNA, 2059 nt
Organism: Solenopsis invicta (red fire ant)
Lineage: Eukaryota; Metazoa; Arthropoda; Insecta; Hymenoptera; Formicidae
Exons: 2
Source: RefSeq, a predicted model, not a curated record